GGCCGUGUGGCGAAAUGGCAUCGCGUCUGACUACGAUUCUAUAAAUUUGCCAUCAGGAGAUUGCAGGUUCGACCCCUGUCUCGGUCA
Tephrocybe sp. NHM501043 is the source of this 87-nucleotide non-coding RNA. Lineage: Eukaryota; Fungi; Basidiomycota; Agaricomycetes; Agaricales; Lyophyllaceae. The record is from the annotation of a GenBank genome assembly.